Molecule: non-coding RNA, 171 nt
Organism: Desulfobacterales bacterium PC51MH44
Lineage: Bacteria; Pseudomonadati; Thermodesulfobacteriota; Desulfobacteria; Desulfobacterales
Source: Rfam
UCAUCCGUGAGGAAGAAUCUGAAGGAAGCCCGAAGCAAAGUUAGGUUUUGACGCACAGAAACCGGAUAGUAGGCUUGCGUACCGGGGUAACUGAGCCAUGAAUCAGGAGGCCCAAUAGUCGUUCGGAUGGUACGGGAGUAAAUCCGGUAGGACCUAACGAAAGUCAAUUGU